CACGUGAUAAAAUAGCACAAGAAACACUUACCAAAUAUAAGGUUAUAUCUUCAGAAUAUACAGGAGAAGGAGGCUUGUAUGUACAGUAAGAAAAUGGUUCUCAGAAUUUUAUUUUUCUUUCCCCUUUUUAUAGUAAUUUGAAACAUCUCAGCUUCAAUAGCUUUAAAUAAUACUUUGGGCCAGUGGACACUUUAAAACAGGGGUGCUAAGGAGAAUGGCAGGCACAACCCAAUGAAGGUGUUCCUUUGCACAAGCCCGGCUAAAAUGAAUGAGCAAUUCUCAUUGGUGUCCAUGCGGCUUGCCCAGCAGAAAUUCCUAACGAGUUAUGCCCUAAAUUUGGACCGAUACAUUGUUAGAACUCUUGCAUGAAGUGGAGUCACCUUUCUCAGGGAGCAAUCCUAUAUCCACUUAUUUGGGAGUAAGCUCCACUGAACUUAGUGGGACUUAGUGUAUAGGAAUGCACUGUCACCCUGCGCCGUAACACAAGUAAAUCAGGAUAUUGCAGUUGUAUAGAACAAGUGACUGAUCUUAAGCACAUUUUGAUCCUUUCUUUAUAUCUUUCCCGUACAAUCCCCUCCCCCUCGUGUCUCUGCCUGAUACCUUUCCUCAUCUCUUCUUUCAUUGAAAGGCCCAACAGUGCACAUGGAAUGUUCCCCAUCUCCUAAUCACAUCUCCUAAUCAUAUUUAAGAGAACAUUUCCCUAUGUUUAUGAGAAUAUUUUGCUUUCCUGUUAAUUAUGCUUCUCUAAAUGUGGAUAUUAUGAGAAAUGUAAAGGGAUAUAGAAAUGAUUCAAAUAAAUAAAUAAAAUUAUUGCAUUUGGAUUAUCACUCUUGCUCUUCCUAGCAUACAUAUACUUAUUAAAAAUUAUAUUCUGUUCUCAUCUAAUCAUGGUGGAGCAGUAUAUUAUUCACUUUAACCAUGGUUAGCUCCAGGGCUUUUUUUUUUAGCCAGAAUUUGCCGAAACUGAGUUCCGGCAUCUCUAAGGUAGGCUCCAUUGCCAUUUUAAGAGAACAAGGGAGGCAU
Molecule: non-coding RNA, 1023 nt
Organism: Podarcis lilfordi (Lilford's wall lizard)
Lineage: Eukaryota; Metazoa; Chordata; Lepidosauria; Squamata; Lacertidae
Source: the annotation of a GenBank genome assembly